GACCUGGCGGCAGCUUACACAUGCAGUCGACCGGUAGCACAGAGGAGCUUGCUCCUUGGGUGACGAGUGGCGGACGGGUGAGUAAUGCUUGGGAAUCUGGCUUAUGGAGGGGGAUAACUACUGGAAACGGUAGCUAAUACCGCGUAAUAUCGGAAGAUUAAAGGGUGGGACCGCAAAGCCACUUGCCAUAAGAUGAGCCCAAGUGGGAUUAGGUAGUUGGUGGGGUAAAGGCCUACCAAGCCGACGAUCUCUAGCUGGUCUGAGAGGAUGACCAGCCACACUGGAACUGAGACACGGUCCAGACUCCUACGGGAGGCAGCAGUGGGGAAUAUUGCACAAUGGGGGGAACCCUGAUGCAGCCAUGCCGCGUGAAUGAAGAAGGCCUUCGGGUUGUAAAGUUCUUUCGGUGAUGAGGAAGGUAUCAAAUUUAAUAGAUUUGGUAAUUGACGUUAGUCACAGAAGAAGCACCGGCUAACUCCGUGCCAGCAGCCGCGGUAAU
This 499-nucleotide ribosomal RNA is filed under the name uncultured bacterium. Its description in RNAcentral is "bacterial SSU rRNA". It matches the Rfam family "Bacterial small subunit ribosomal RNA", at positions 36 to 524 of the family's 1533-position model. The record is from RNAcentral.